ACAAGCAGCGGAGCAUGUGGUUUAAUUCGAAGCAACGACGAAGAACCUUACCAGAUCUUGACAUCCAAUUGACCAUCUUUUAAUCGAGAUUUUGCCUUCGGGUACAAUUGAGACAGGUGGUGCAUGGUUGUCGUCAGCUCGUGUCGUGAGAUGUUGGGUUAAGUCCCGCAACGAGCGCAACCCUUAUGUUUAGUUGCAAACAGGUCAAGCUGUGCACUCUAGACAGACUGCCGUGGACAACACGGAGGAAGGUGGGGAUGACGUCAAAUCAUCAUGCCCCUUAUGAUCUGGGCUACACACGUGCUACAAUGGCCGGUACAACGGGCAGCGAAGGAGCGAUCCGGAGCGAAUCCUAAAAAGCCGGUCCCAGUUCGGAUUGCAGGCUGAAACUCGCCUACAUGAAGUUGGAGUUGCUAGUAAUCGCGAAUCAGAAUGUCGCGGUGAAUGCGUUCCCGGGUCUU
Molecule: ribosomal RNA, 461 nt
Filed under: uncultured Fusibacter sp.
Lineage: Bacteria; Bacillati; Bacillota; Clostridia; Eubacteriales; Fusibacteraceae
Description: bacterial SSU rRNA
Rfam family: Bacterial small subunit ribosomal RNA
Source: RNAcentral